Phasianus colchicus (ring-necked pheasant) is the source of this 1600-nucleotide long non-coding RNA. Lineage: Eukaryota; Metazoa; Chordata; Aves; Galliformes; Phasianidae. The record is from Ensembl.
CAAUAUUUCCCUGCAGUCUUUGCAACCCCUGAAUUGUAGCAUGUUGUUUGUGCAGAAGAAGCUGAAAGUGAAACUGUCUGAAAAUGAGAGUGAAGAAAACUGGCCUGCUUCUAUAAUUUCAGCAGAAAGCACCUCAGGUAAACAAAAUGGCACACUUGUGCAAUCAGCGAUGAAGAAUUCUCCCUAUAUAAAUGGCUGAAGUGAAACAAGUGGAGAGAGCCAGUGGUGCCUUCCUACUGAUAGGACCGAAUCCCAGCACGGAGCCAUCGCCACAGGCAGGAGGAUGACAAACAGGAGGCACAACAGCACCAGGCAGAGAUCCCACCAGCCAAAAGCAUCUUCAAAACUCCUAAGCAAUCCUCUUUUCAGAGCAUCUCCUUUCAUGCACGUGAGAUAUAAGGAGAGCUCAGGAAGAUCCUUCGAUGAAAGCCUUCCUCCCAAGUUGUCGCCUUUGAAGAAGAGCCUCAGUGCCAGUGAAGCUCCACUGGAAUUUGCCCUUUCCCAUGAUUCACAAUGGAGAUGUGAUGUAAUUUCUGAGCCACGCUCCCUCUGGAACAUACCACACAGACUCUGGGCUCUUGCAGAACUGUGCAUCUUGCAGAACUGUCCACAUGGGUGACCCUCAUGUUGAUAAUCUGCAGUGAACCAGGUGGGGUUAUGUACAGUAUAGUUGUAGCUGGUGGCAGCACAGCCAGUAAAAGAGCACCGUUACUGCUUCAGCAUUAGCAAGAAAUGGUGCCAAAAGCUGGCUGAGAUCAUGUAAAUAGCUCAUGGAGUUGGGGGGAUGUGAGGAUUAUGAUUACCUGGUGCUGCAGAGGGGAGAAAAGAUGCUCAUGCCCACAGGGGAGAGCGCUCGUUGCCAGCAGGGAUAUGGGGUCGGUGCAGCUCCUGCCCUGCACGCCAGAAUGUUGGACUGCAGGGCUGGCUGAGCUGCAGCCAGCUCACAUUGCUGUGUAAGGCAGUGUUUAAAAAAUAGAAUCAACACAUCAAACAAUAUGUCAUGUAAGUUUUCCAUGUCAAGGAAAAUAGCCUGAGGCCCUUCUUCCCACAUUUGCUGCUACAACAGCCAGACAACCUGGCCCCAAAAUUUAUUCUGGGCUCUAAUCAGGAAAAAUCCCUGUGAUCUCUGAGGUUGGGCUUCACAGUUUUGGAAAGAGAUGAUAUGGUUCCUAGAAGGAAGGCUCUUGCCCACUGUUCUUGAGGUCUGUGGUCACUGUGAGAGUCGCGCUCAUCAUGCACCUCCUGCUGAAAAAGUGGAAAUGCUCUCAUUUGCCCCAGUCAUCUCUGUGCAGUAAACAUCCAGCGUAGCAGCUUCUGAGCCAUUACUCAUGCUAUGUUUCCCUCUGUAUACACAAAAGCAGAUGCUAUCCAGCACCCAGAUGACCCCAAGUUCUGCUUUCAUCCUGCGCUAGUUUUGUUUUAUUUCUUUCUCCAAAUUCUUCAUGCUGAGGUUUAGCUUUCCCCAGGAUUUUGUUGCCCCAAGAACAAAGCUGACCCUCCACAAACCAUGCACAGUGAGGCUGUGCAGGAUGCGUGCUCACUCUUAUUCUUGAUUUUUGUUCCCUAAUUUAGAGCACAAAUAAAAUUGCCAAGUUCCACA